This 600-nucleotide small RNA is filed under the name Pan troglodytes (chimpanzee). Its description in RNAcentral is "processed transcript". Lineage: Eukaryota; Metazoa; Chordata; Mammalia; Primates; Hominidae. The record is from RNAcentral.
AGCUCUCCGUCUCUCUUUCUCUCUCAGCCUCUGUCUUUCUCCCUGUCUCCCCCACUGUCAGCACCUCUUCUGUGUGGUGAGUGGACCGCUUACCCCACUAGGUGAAGAUGUCAGCCCAGGAGAGCUGCCUCAGCCUCAUCAAGUACUUCCUCUUCGUUUUCAACCUCUUCUUCUUUGUCCUCGGCAGCCUGAUCUUCUGCUUCGGCAUCUGGAUCCUCAUCGACAAGACCAGCUUCGUGUCCUUUGUGGGCUUGGCCUUCGUGCCUCUGCAGAUCUGGUCCAAAGUCCUGGCCAUCUCGGGAAUCUUCACCAUGGGCAUCGCCCUCCUGGGUUGUGUGGGGGCCCUCAAGGAGCUCCGCUGCCUCCUGGGCCUGUAUUUUGGGAUGCUGCUGCUCCUGUUUGCCACACAGAUCACCCUGGGAAUCCUCAUCUCCACUCAGCGGGCCCAGCUGGAGCGAAGCUUGCAGGACGUCGUAGAGGAAACCAUCCAAAAGUACCGCACCAACCCCGAGGAGACCGCGGCCGAGGAGAGCUGGGACUAUGUGCAGUUCCAGGCCCGACGCCCCCCACUCCCCAGAUGACACGACUGUCCCCGGCGUC